AAGUCGUAACAAGGUUUCCGUAGGUGAACCUGCGGAAGGAUCAUUAUCGAAUAAACUUGAACAGGCUGUUUUCUGCUGGUCCCUCUCGGGGGGCAUGUGCACGCUUGUCUCAUCUUUAUCAUCUCUCCAACUGUGCACCUCUUGUAGACCCUGGCUGUCUUGGAUUUCGGUUCGAGUGGGGACUGCUGUGCUGUGAAAGUUCAGCUUUGCCCCCCCCUUUCAUAUAUCCAGGUCUAUGUUUCUGCUCACAACCUCUCAAAAGUGUUUAGAAUGUACCUAUUAAAAGUUGAAUAUACAACUUUCAGCAACGGAUCUCUUGGCUCUCGCAUCGAUGAAGAACGCAGCGAAAUGCGAUAAGUAAUGUGAAUUGCAGAAUUCAGUGAAUCAUCGAAUCUUUGAACGCAUCUUGCGCUCCUUGGUAUUCCGAGGAGCAUGCCUGUUUGAGUGUCAUUUAACUUCUCAACCACGUCGUCGUGAUGUGGCUUGGAUUGGUGGGGGCUCUUUGCAGGUCCUUCUUUUUUGUCUGGCCUGCUCCCCUGAAAUGCAUUAGCGGUAUCUGAGCAGCUGCUGUGGGUGUGAUAAAUCUAUCUAUGCCUCUUUGGUGUGCUGCAUGAGCAGAUUGUGCCGCUUCCAACCAUAAAAUGACGAAUUUGACCUCAAAUCAGGUAGGACUACCCGCUGAACUUAAGCAUAUCAAUAAGCGGAGGAAAAGAAACUAACAAGGAUUCCCCUAGUAACUGCGAGUGAAGCGGGAAAAGCUCAAAUUUGAAAUCUGGCGGUUCCUUGGGCCGUCCGAGUUGUAAUCUAGAGAAGUGUUACCUGUGCUGGACCGUGUACAAGUCUCCUGGAAUGGAGCAUCGCAGAGGGUGAGAAUCCCGUCUUUGACACGGACUGCCUGUGCGGUAUGGUGCGCUCUCGAAGAGUCGAGUUGUUUGGGAAUGCAGCUCAAAAUGGGUGGUAAAUGCCAUCUAAAGCUAAAUAUUGGCGAGAGACCGAUAGCGAACAAGUACCGUGAGGGAAAGAUGAAAAGAACUUUGGAAAGAGAGUUAAACAGUACGUGAAAUUGCUGAAAGGGAAACGCUUGAAGUCAGUCGCGUCGGCUAGAAAUCAGCCUUGCUUUUGCUUGGUGUACUUUCUUGUUCGACGGGUCAGCAUCAAUUUUGACCGUCGGAUAAAGUCGUUGGGAAUGUGGCAUCUUAGGAUGUGUUAUAGCCCAUUGUCGCAUACGGCGGUCGGGAUUGAGGAACUCAGCACGCCGCGAGGCCGGGUCAUCUUUUUGACCACGUUCGUGCUUAGGAUGCUGGCAUAAUGGCUUUAAUCGACC
RNAcentral lists this ribosomal RNA (1324 nucleotides) under uncultured fungus. RNAcentral's name for it is "eukaryotic LSU rRNA". The stretch from base 652 to 1324 matches the Rfam family "Eukaryotic large subunit ribosomal RNA", at positions 1 to 649 of the family's 3401-position model. The record is from RNAcentral. Lineage: Eukaryota; Fungi.